AUGCGAACUGAAACCUCAGAGGUUUACAGUCAGUCACAGGGGCACAGCACACCAAUGUCACUUCAAGGCAUUUUUCCCAGUGAUGGCCAAGCACUACUAAUCUACUUUGCUAAAAUCCUGCAUCUUUAUUCACUCAUCUACAAAACUCCACGUGGUGAUUUGUGGAAGGGUCAUUUAGGAGCAGAGACAGUAAGAGCCCAGCAUGUGGACAUGGAGGUACGCACUGCCUGUUUGUCACACUUGGAAACUGCCUUGGGCUCCUCUGGCCCUGGAGGACCUGAAAGUCUUCCUAGGCUGCCCCAGCCCUCCUGGAUGGAAUGUGCUUUCAUGUGGGCCAGUGAGGACCACAAGAGGGAAAGCUGGAGAAUGGCGCGACUUGCCAUCUCACACACCCUCCCUUUAGCAGAACUAGAGAGCACAGAAAAUCCCUGAAGUAGGCUACAUGGAAUCACUGUGUGUUAAGUUGGACGUGUCUUGAAAUAAUUAAAUUAUAAAAGAUGACUUGCUCGUGGUAGUAAUAAUUAGCUUUUACACUGGGCCAGGCACUGUUUUCAGCAUCUUAUAUGUAUUAUUUCAAUUAGUCCUCAUCAACUGUGAGUUGUUUUCGUUUCACAGACAAGAAAACUGAGGCAUAGAAAGAUUUUAUCUUUGCUCCAUCACCAGACAGUAAAAGGAGGAGCUAGGAUUCAAACACUGACAGUCUGACUCCAGGGCCUUCCCUAUGAUGGGACAGAGUGGGCUGGAAAUGCCUGUUCUCCAGCAGCCCUCAGCGUGCCCCAGACAGCCUGCUUAGAGCUUCUCAGGUGGCCUUUCAGAAGUGCCCUGCACUUACAGCUUGCAUGUGCUAGUGGAUUAUUCUCUGUUGCUCUGAACUUUUGUUUUUCUAGUUAACAGCAUACCCUGGACAUCCAGGAAAGAGCUUUAAAAAUUACCUUGUCUUCAUUUUAAGAAUGAAAAUGAACUCAGGCCUAGGAAGGUUAAAUGAAAUGCCAAAUUGGAUCUCUAACAAUUUGGGAUCACCAACAUUCGAUGGCUUCCUGUUUGGCUUCAAAAUUUAUUCUGACACUUGACUUCCGUGGUGUUAGCCAGUCUCAUGUGGCAGAUCAGAGCUCUUAACAAUGUCACAUGAUGACCAGAGACCCUCCUUUCCUUUUCUUCCUCUCUUUAUCCUAUUUCUAUAGGAUCUUGCUUUGAGUUAGAUAACAACGGAUAGAAAUUAGUUGAUAGGAUAAACAAGGGCCCCUCAAACUUUCAUCAUUCUCGUGCAGUCUUCUCAUGACACCUGUUAAUAUUUAAUAUCUUUAUCACACCAAUAUAGUAAGUAAUAUAUUGAGUAUUCAAUAUUGAACACAAUUUGGAUACUAUUUGUCAAUGAAUAUAUUAAAUUAUCACUGUUAAACCCUGAAUUUGAUGUGCCAAUCAUAAUUUUAGAACAUAUAUUAAAAUAAAUACAUAAGCAUUAAAAUUCAAAAAAUUAAUCCAUUACUAUCAAGCAGUGAUAUACAACUCACAUUUUGGGAGACAUAGAAACCAAUCUUGCUAUGUCAGCCAGAUCAGAACCCCACAGAUUUAUCUAUGCAAAAGAC
Molecule: long non-coding RNA, 1586 nt
Filed under: Fukomys damarensis (Damara mole-rat)
Lineage: Eukaryota; Metazoa; Chordata; Mammalia; Rodentia; Bathyergidae
Description: lncRNA (ENSFDAG00000022825.1)
Source: RNAcentral